This 468-nucleotide ribosomal RNA is filed under the name uncultured bacterium. RNAcentral's name for it is "partial 16S ribosomal RNA". It matches the Rfam family "Bacterial small subunit ribosomal RNA", at positions 28 to 507 of the family's 1533-position model. The record is from RNAcentral.
GACGAACGCUGGCGGCGUGCUUAACACAUGCAAGUCGAACGGAAAGGCCCUGCUUUUGUGGGGUGCUCGAGUGGCGAACGGGUGAGUAACACGUGAGUAACCUGCCCUUGACUUUGGGAUAACUUCAGGAAACUGGGGCUAAUACCGGAUAGGAGCUCCUGCUGCAUGGUGGGGGUUGGAAAGUUUCGGCGGUUGGGGAUGGACUCGCGGCUUAUCAGCUUGUUGGUGGGGUAGUGGCUUACCAAGGCUUUGACGGGUAGCCGGCCUGAGAGGGUGACCGGCGACAUUGGGACUGAGAUACGGCCCAGACUCGUACGGGAGGCAGCAGUGGGGAAUAUUGCAGAAUGGGCGGAAGCCUAAUGCAGCAACGCCGCGUGCGGGAUGACGGCCUUCGGGUUGUAAACCGCUUUCGCCUGUGACGAAGAGUGAGUGACGGUAAUGGGUAAAGAAGCACCGGCUAACUACGUG